ACUAAGUCCUCAGAGGUGGUGUAGGUGUGGCUGCUGUGUCACUGUGCAUCAGUAGAUGGUAGAGAAGAAAGAGAGGAUGUCUACACUCAGUGUUCUGACCUAUUAACAUCUGAAUGAUUAGUAGCCUAACAUU
Small nucleolar RNA from Grammomys surdaster, 133 nucleotides. RefSeq annotates it as small nucleolar RNA SNORA17. The record is from RefSeq and is a predicted model, not a curated record. Lineage: Eukaryota; Metazoa; Chordata; Mammalia; Rodentia; Muridae. The transcript has a single exon.